This 388-nucleotide RNase P RNA is filed under the name Methylocystis bryophila. RNAcentral's name for it is "Methylocystis sp. H2s Bacterial RNase P class A". It matches the Rfam family "Bacterial RNase P class A". Rfam says of the family: Ribonuclease P (RNase P) is a ubiquitous endoribonuclease, found in archaea, bacteria and eukarya as well as chloroplasts and mitochondria. Its best characterised activity is the generation of mature 5'-ends of tRNAs by cleaving the 5'-leader elements of precursor-tRNAs. Lineage: Bacteria; Pseudomonadati; Pseudomonadota; Alphaproteobacteria; Hyphomicrobiales; Methylocystaceae. The record is from Rfam by way of RNAcentral.
CCAGCCGGCCGGAUGGCCGCCGCGCUUCCCGCGCGGAGGAAAGUCCGGGCUCCACGGAGACACGGCGCCGGAUAACGUCCGGCGGGGGCGACCCCAGGGAAAGCGCCACAGAAAGCAAACCGCCGCGCGUCUCGCGCGGUAAGGGUGAAAGGGUGCGGUAAGAGCGCACCGCUCUCACGGCAACGCGAGAGGCAUGGCAAGCCCCGCCGGGAGCAAGACCGAAUAGGGGCGACCGAAGGCCUAAAAAACCUUCAACCCGUCUCCGGGCUGUCGCCCGGGUUGGUUGCUCGAGACGGCCGGCAACGGUCGUCCUAGAGGAAUGGCCAUCACGCGGGCGCAGGCGACUGCGUCCGCCAUACAGAACCCGGCUUAUAGGCCGGCUGGCGUU